Vidua macroura (Pin-tailed whydah) is the source of this 425-nucleotide long non-coding RNA. RefSeq lists it as uncharacterized. The record is from RefSeq and is a predicted model, not a curated record. NCBI's taxonomy places the organism in Eukaryota, Metazoa, Chordata, Aves, Passeriformes, Viduidae. The transcript has 3 exons.
GGUAACUGACAUAGAACUCUCAGGAGUGAACAGGGGGGUGACCACAAGACUGACAUAGGGAAGCUCCAAUGAGUCAUCAGAACUCAGUCAAAAGAGUGUGUUUACAUGUUGCUUGGCCUUGCACACUACACACUGAGGGUUUACAGAGAGUAAACGGAGAUAUUUAGACUUCACCCACAUUGCUUCUUUGGACUGCACACUGUGUGAAGAGAAACAGGCAAAGCAGGGAGACAGGAGCCUGCUAUCCAGUGAAAAAGGACAGAAACUACAGAUACACCAUAUUUCCUUUCCAUGUUCUCUAGGGGAAAAGCUGACUGGGCAAGCCUAUUUCCUGCUGGUUUAUCACUUUUUGCACCAGAAGUAUGGUUUUGGCAUUUUUCCUUUCAGCUUCAAUGGAAAUGAAGAAUUAACUUGAUUGAGGUGUU